GGGCACAUGGUGUAGUUGGUUAUCACACCCGCUUUGCAGGUCGUAAUUCUUGGCUUCCCUGCGGGUGGUCCCCGGUUCAAUUCCGGGUGUGUCCA
Tephrocybe sp. NHM501043 is the source of this 95-nucleotide non-coding RNA. The record is from the annotation of a GenBank genome assembly. Lineage: Eukaryota; Fungi; Basidiomycota; Agaricomycetes; Agaricales; Lyophyllaceae.